Molecule: long non-coding RNA, 432 nt
Organism: Bactrocera neohumeralis
Lineage: Eukaryota; Metazoa; Arthropoda; Insecta; Diptera; Tephritidae
Exons: 3
Source: RefSeq, a predicted model, not a curated record
AGUUACAAGUUGCAAGGCAACAAAGCAACAAGACUAACUCAAGAGUCUUGAGUGAUGACCCAACCCAACCCAAAAUUAGCAAGAAACACUAGAACAAUAUGGCUGUAAACUAUCUUAUUUUUCACAUGAUUAAAUCUAAAAACAUAAAAAAUAUAUUUAAAUAUUCGAAAAGUUCCACGUAUUAGCCAAUUGGUUACUAACUCAGUUACUACACUCUCAAGGAGGCUAAGAAAACCGAAAAUUUUUACUUGACAUUAACGUCGCUUCUAUAACAUGAGUGCAAAAUUAGUACAAAAGUUCUAAGAAAAAUUAGCUCACAGAAUUCACAAAUCAAAGGAAGCAAUGGAAUACCUAACCGAUUUUAAAAAAUUACUUGAAAAAUUACAAAAAAUAUGUGCUUCCAAAGUCUGGACGGUCGGACUGAACUUAAAC